AGCUCCAAUAGCGUAUACUAAAGUUGUUGCGAUUAAAAAGCUCGUAGUUGGAUCUCAGGCAUGGGCGCACGGUCCGCCUCGCGGCGGUCACUGUGUGUAUUGUUUCCCAUCCUACGCUUCCCGGUUGUUCAGCCCAUGGUGCUCUUGACUGAGCGUUUUGGGUGGCCGGAACGUUUACUUUGAAGAAAUUAGAGUGUUCAAAGCAGGCGCGUCGCCUGAAUAAUGGUGCAUGGAAUAAUGGAAUAGGACCUCGGUUCUAUUUUGCUGGUUUUCGGAACACGAGGUAAUGAUUAAGAGGGACAGACGGGGGCAUCCGUAUUGCGGUGUUAGAGGUGAAAUUCUUGGAUCAUCGCAAGACGAACAACUGCGAAAGCAUUUGCCAAGCAUGUUUUCAUUAAUC
This 400-nucleotide ribosomal RNA is filed under the name phytoplankton environmental sample. RNAcentral's name for it is "partial small subunit ribosomal RNA". It matches the Rfam family "Eukaryotic small subunit ribosomal RNA", at positions 587 to 978 of the family's 1831-position model. The record is from RNAcentral.